This 503-nucleotide ribosomal RNA is filed under the name uncultured bacterium. RNAcentral's name for it is "bacterial SSU rRNA". It matches the Rfam family "Bacterial small subunit ribosomal RNA", at positions 27 to 519 of the family's 1533-position model. The record is from RNAcentral.
GGAUGAACGCUAGCUACAGGCUUAACACAUGCAAGUCGAGGGGCAGCAUGGUCUUAGCUUGCUAAGGCCGAUGGCGACCGGCGCACGGGUGAGUAACACGUAUCCAACCUGCCGUCUACUCUUGGACAGCCUUCUGAAAGGAAGAUUAAUACAAGAUGGCAUCAUGAGUCCGCAUGUUCACAUGAUUAAAGGUAUUCCGGUAGACGAUGGGGAUGCGUUCCAUUAGAUAGUAGGCGGGGUAACGGCCCACCUAGUCUUCGAUGGAUAGGGGUUCUGAAAGGAAGGUCCCCCACAUUGGAACUGAGACACGGUCCAAACUCCUACGGGAGGCAGCAGUGAGGAAUAUUGGUCAAUGGGCGAGAGCCUGAACCAGCCAAGUAGCGUGAAGGAUGACUGCCCUAUGGGUUGUAAACUUCUUUUAUAAAGGAAUAAAGUCGGGUAUGGAUACCCGUUUGCAUGUACUUUAUGAAUAAGGAUCGGCUAACUCCGUGCCAGCAGCCGCG